AGUUCCCUGGAACGGGACGCCAGAGAGGGUGAGAGCCCCGUACGGUCGGACGCCUAGCCUCUGUGAAGCUCCUUCGACGAGUCGAGUAGUUUGGGAAUGCUGCUCAAAAUGGGAGGUAUAUGUCUUCUAAAGCUAAAUAUUGGCCAGAGACCGAUAGCGCACAAGUAGAGUGAUCGAAAGAUGAAAAGCACCUUGAAAAGAGGGUUAAAUAGUACGUGAAAUUGUUGAAAGGGAAGCGCUUGUUACCAG
RNAcentral lists this ribosomal RNA (249 nucleotides) under Prymnesium parvum. RNAcentral's name for it is "partial Eukaryotic large subunit ribosomal RNA". It matches the Rfam family "Eukaryotic large subunit ribosomal RNA", at positions 184 to 432 of the family's 3401-position model. Lineage: Eukaryota; Haptophyta; Prymnesiales; Prymnesiaceae. The record is from RNAcentral.